CUUUCAGUUAUGCACUGCUAAUUAGUGGUGGAAGGAAACUUGAAUUCUAUGGUCUCAUCUGAGUUUCGAGUUUUAUCACUGUAAUCCUUACCGCUUUUUUUUUUUUUUUUUUUUUUUUUACAGGGUUUUGCUGUGCAGUUUAGGCUGUCCUUGAACCCACUUUUUAGUCCAUUCUGGCCUUGAACUCAUCAUGGGUAUGGUCUUGUCUCAGCUUCUUGACUGCUGGGAUUACAGGUCUGAGCCACCAUACCUGGCACAGCUUGCUUUUUGGCACAGAUCUAGUUCAGCCACCACUAUUACCAUCCUCAGAUAAUAAAAAUACACUGGACCCGUAUUAGCACAUGAAUCCUAGUACAAGCUGACAAAAAGAAGUUUUCAAAAGGAUCCUUGGUAGUGAAAUGAAAGAC
Molecule: long non-coding RNA, 407 nt
Filed under: Cavia porcellus (domestic guinea pig)
Lineage: Eukaryota; Metazoa; Chordata; Mammalia; Rodentia; Caviidae
Description: lncRNA (ENSCPOG00000034898.1)
Source: RNAcentral